This 253-nucleotide ribosomal RNA is filed under the name uncultured bacterium. Its description in RNAcentral is "partial 16S ribosomal RNA". It matches the Rfam family "Bacterial small subunit ribosomal RNA", at positions 524 to 776 of the family's 1533-position model. The record is from RNAcentral.
UACGUAGGGUGCGAGCGUUGUCCGGAAUUAUUGGGCGUAAAGGGCUCGUAGGCGGUUUGUCGCGUCGGGAGUGAAAACCAGGUGCUUAACACCUGGCUUGCUUUCGAUACGGGCAGACUAGAGGUAUGCAGGGGAGAACGGAAUUCCUGGUGUAGCGGUGGAAUGCGCAGAUAUCAGGAGGAACACCGGUGGCGAAGGCGGGUCUCUGGGCAGUAACUGACGCUGAGGAGCGAAAGCGUGGGGAGCGAACAGG